GGCGAACGGGUGAGUAACGCGUAGGUGAUCUGCCUUCAGGCGGGGGACAACCCGGGGAAACCCGGGCUAAUACCGCAUGUGACCGCAAGGUUAAAGCCGGCCUCUAUUUAUAAGCUGGUGCCUGGAGAUGAGCCUGCGUCUGAUUAGCUAGACGGUGGGGUAAAGGCCUACCGUGGCGAUGAUAAGUAGGCGGCUUUAACGAGUGGCCGCCCACACUGGGAUUGAGAUACGGCCCAGACUCCUACGGGAGGCAGCAGUCGAGGAUAGUCUACAAUGGUCGAAAGAUUGAUAGUGCGACGCCGCGUGAACGAAGAAGCAUUUCGGUGUGUAAAGUUCUUUUCCAUGGGAGCAGGGGCCAGGUGGUUAACAGCGACCGGGUCUUGAUAUUACUAUGGGAAUAAGCCACGGCUAACUCCGUGCCAGCAGCCGCGGUAAUACGGGGGUGGCGAGCGUUGUCCGGAAUUACUAGGCGUAAAGGGCAGGUAGGCGGUUUUAUAAGUUAAUCGUUAAAGACCCGUGCUCACCAUGGGGAGGGCGGUUGAUACUGUAAGACUGGAAGCGAGUGGGGGAAGACGGAAUUCCU
Molecule: ribosomal RNA, 583 nt
Filed under: uncultured bacterium
Lineage: Bacteria
Description: bacterial SSU rRNA
Rfam family: Bacterial small subunit ribosomal RNA
Source: RNAcentral